UAAUACGUAGGAUGCAAGCGUUGUCCGGAUUUACUGGGCGUAAAGCGCGCGCAGGUGGCAUGGCAAGUAAGGUGUGAAAUCUCCCUGCUCAACGGGGAGGGAGCGCUUUAGACUGCCAAGCUAGAGGACGGUAGAGGGGGGUGGAAUUGCUGGUGUAGCGGUGAAAUGCGUAGAGAUCAGCAGGAACACCCGUGGCGAAGGCGGCCCCCUGGGCCGUACCUGACGCUGAGGCGCGAAGGCUAGGGGAGCGAACGGGA
Molecule: ribosomal RNA, 257 nt
Filed under: uncultured bacterium
Lineage: Bacteria
Description: partial 16S ribosomal RNA
Rfam family: Bacterial small subunit ribosomal RNA
Source: RNAcentral